This 517-nucleotide ribosomal RNA is filed under the name uncultured bacterium. RNAcentral describes it as "partial 16S ribosomal RNA". It matches the Rfam family "Bacterial small subunit ribosomal RNA", at positions 29 to 523 of the family's 1533-position model. The record is from RNAcentral.
AACGAACGCUGGCGGCGUGGAUAAGACAUGCAAGUCGAACGGGAUUUUUUCCUGUAGCAAUACAGGAAAAAGUCUAGUGGCGAACGGGUGCGUAACACGUGAGCAACCUGCCGUGAAGUGGGGGAAAGCUCGCCGAAAGGCGAAUUAAUACCGCAUGUGGCCAAGGAAGACAUCUUCCUGACGCCAAAGCCGGGGCAACCUGGCGCUUCUCGAGGGGCUCGCGGCCUAUCAGCUUGUUGGUGAGGUAACGGCUCACCAAGGCUAUGACGGGUAGCUGGUCUGAGAGGACGACCAGCCACACUGGAACUGAGACGCGGUCCAGACACCUACGGGUGGCAGCAGUCGAGAAUUUUUCACAAUGGGGGAAACCCUGAUGGAGCGACGCCGCGUGGAGGAUGAAGGUUUUCGGAUUGUAAACUCCUGUCAUUAGAGAACAAGGCACACGGUUUAACUGGCCGUGUGUUGAUAGUAUCUGAAGAGGAAGAGACGGCUAACUCUGCGCCAGCAGCCGCAGUAA